GUUACAGCAACACGGUUAUUCGCUUUAGUUUUGUGCGCUUCGCUGUUUGCUCCUUCAGACGCACCAAUUCAGUGCAUUUUCCAGCAGAGAUCUUUGUGAGAUCGCAGGUCAGGAGGAUGACAGCUCGAGUGUAUUGCUCGUUGAUUGCUGUUUUGUAUUGUCUGUCCGGAUACUUGAGCACUACAGACGCUCUUCCAAGAAAAAACACAGUAAAGCCCGGAGAGUGUCCACCCCAAUCAUCUGGAAUGAAAUCGUGUACCACGUCAUGUAAAAGUGACUCUAACUGUCCCAACAAUGAGAAGUGCUGCAGCAAUGGAUGUGGACAUUACUGUACAGCUCCGUAUACAGUGAAGCUGGGUCAAUGUCCCAAACCGAAGAUUCAAGCAUGUGCUGAAAGCUGUUUCCAUGAUGGCCAGUGCCCUGCCACACAGAAAUGUUGCCCAACCACCUGUGGUCAUGCAUGCAGUGAACCUCGUGGUCAGGGAAGUGGUUGGGGAAGUAGUCAAGGUCGCGGAAAUGUUAAAGUAAAAGGUCAAGGCAAGUGGUCAAAGAAA
Cyprinus carpio (common carp) is the source of this 554-nucleotide long non-coding RNA. RefSeq lists it as uncharacterized. The transcript has 3 exons. NCBI's taxonomy places the organism in Eukaryota, Metazoa, Chordata, Actinopteri, Cypriniformes, Cyprinidae. The record is from RefSeq and is a predicted model, not a curated record.